ACCAAGGGGCAGCAGGGCAGGUCGCUGGAGGCUCCUGUGCCUGAUGUUUGCCCAGGAUCACGAGCCCUGAAACACCCCUGGGAACAUCCACAAUGUGCUUUUUCCCACCUUCCUGUCCCCAGGACCAGCAGGGAAUGAGCCAGGGAGGAGUUGGAAACCUCUUCACAAGUUCCUAAUAAAACCUUUUCCCUCAAGGUGUUGAAUUUACCCCGAUUUCCCCUAAAAGGCAGAGAGGUGUUGCAGGUGUUGCUGCAUUUUUUGAGACAUGGGACAGUGACUGUGAACAAAAAACAAUUCCUGGUGUAAACGGUGAAUUCCUCCCUUUAUUUUUGCAGGUAGCAGUGGGAAUGAAAGCAAUUCCAUUUGCCACACAGGCUCCACAAAUGAGUAACUUCAGUGGGAUUUGUUCAUACAAAAGAGAAAAGAUCACCUGGAUUCUUCUGGAGCUGGGAGUCAGGGCCAGAAAUCUCCAGGAAAGACCUGCCCAAGGACCAAGAAGAGGAUCUCACCUCUCCAGAGCUCCAUCCCACCUGGAGCUCCAGCCCGGUGCUGGUGGCAGACUGAGGGAGGAGGAAUAAACCCCAACGUUUCAAAGCUCCGUGGAACACAGGGUAUGUGGAUUUGUUCUCCAUGGCUUUCUUUAAUUAUCCUGAAUUUCUGUGUUGUGCUAACCUCGAUUGUAUUCAGAGGAAAGUUUCAGAAUCAGGGAUAUCCAGAGAGGAAGGAACUAAGGAAAAUAUUCACAUUGAGGCCCCUCCCAGCAUGUGACCAGAGCUGGGCUCUCCAGCACUCAGCAGCUGAGGAACAUCUGGAGUUAAUUUCUAAUUCCACCAUGAAUUCCCUUCUUUUCCAGGCUCUGCCAGGACUGGUGAAGUCUCUUUUGAGAAGCACACAGAAAAUCUGCCAUCCCAAAUCCAUCUCCUUCCCAGUGGCCAGCAGCCUGAGGAGGAGCUGUUUACAGAUCUCCUUUUGGCAGCUGGGUGAGAAGGGAAUGCCAUGGCCCAGGAGGGAUUGCCAAGGAAGGAUUACCAAGGUUCAAGCUGUAUUCCAAGGGGACACGAGUUCUGUGUGUCACCUCUGCACCAGGUCAGUGCCUUCUCCCUGGACUCUCCUCUGAGGAGCAUCCCUGAGCCCUCAGGCUCUGCAGAUGGUUUUAGGGGUGAUCAAAAUGGCACAGUGGAAAUUCCCUGGUGUCAGGAAGGCUGAAAUGAUUCGAUAAAUUGGAUUAGAUCAAUUUUUUUUCUUAUAGGAAGCAAAUGGCUGGUGGAAAGUUUCAGGAAGUGCUUUAUGAUCAGGCAGAGUGAGUCAGUUUUGAAUUUUCUGCUUUUUUUUUUACAUUUUGUAGUUGGUUGGAAAAGUCUGUAAGCUCUGGUUUAUUGUUUGCAAAGUGCUGAAAACACCGUGACGCUCCUGAAAAUACAAAUAAUAGUGGCAGUGGACAGUAGCUUAUCAAACCUUUUCUGAUGGCUCAGAAAUCCCUGAGUUCUUUUAUUCCCCACCCCUGUGCUUCAGCUUCUGGCUUUGGAUGCCAGCAAAGCACAGCUGGGGCUGUGCAGAUGGGACACAGAACCACACGGAUUUGGGGUGGCAGGGACGUGACUUCAUGUUCCUUUCUCCUUCAGCUUAUCUGAGGGGAGGAAACUGGGGACCUUAUCUUCUUCUGAGUGGAAAAACUGAUUUCAAGUGCACAUGUUUGAAGCUGCAGCACUGAGCCAGGUUGGCUUGACUAAACCACAAAAUCUGACUGAGCCUAAUUAGAAAGCAGGAUGCCUCCCAGCACUUAAAGGUUGCUUUCAAGAUUCUGAUGAGCUGACAAAACAGAUUAGUGAGAGGUGGGAUUGGUAUGAGCCACGUUUGGCGUUUUCCUGCUUGGUGGCAGCAACAAGAGGCCCUGUGUGGAGAUCAGAGCAUGAGCCUGAGUGAAUUCACAGCCAGUGACUGCACAGAGCUCCCGGGGUGGAUGGGCUGGGCUGAGCUGGAGAUGCUGCUGACCUUCGAGCUGAAUGCUGUUCUGCUUUGAACUACAAGAGGAGAGAUUUAGAUGAGUUUUAGAAGAUGAUCAGAGGGUGGACAGGCCCCGGCAAAGGGUGCCGAGAGAAGCUGGGGAUGCCCCUGGA
This 2117-nucleotide long non-coding RNA is filed under the name Lonchura striata (white-rumped munia). RNAcentral's name for it is "domestica (Bengalese finch) lncRNA (ENSLSDG00000005778.1)". Lineage: Eukaryota; Metazoa; Chordata; Aves; Passeriformes; Estrildidae. The record is from RNAcentral.